CGCGUGAGCAAUCUACCUUAGUUACUGGGAUAGCCCGAGGAAACUCGGAUUAAUACCGGAUAUUCUUAUUUUUCACAUGAAGUUUUAAGGAAAGGACAGCCGAACUAAGAUGAGCUCGCGUUCUAUCAGCUAGUUGGUGGGGUAAAAGCCUGCCAAGGCUACGACGGAUAGCUGGUCUGAGAGGAUGAUCAGCCACACUGGGACUGAGACACGGCCCAGACUCCUACGGGAGGCAGCAGUGGGGAAUAUUGCACAAUGGGCGCAAGCCUGAUGCAGCCAUGCCGCGUGUGUGAAGAAGGC
This 300-nucleotide ribosomal RNA is filed under the name uncultured Acidimicrobiales bacterium. RNAcentral describes it as "bacterial SSU rRNA". It matches the Rfam family "Bacterial small subunit ribosomal RNA", at positions 114 to 415 of the family's 1533-position model. Lineage: Bacteria; Bacillati; Actinomycetota; Acidimicrobiia; Acidimicrobiales. The record is from RNAcentral.